GAUUAAGAACGCAGUGAAAUGCGAUAAGUAAUGUGAAUUGCAGAAUUCCGUGAAUCAUCGAAUCUUUGAACGCACAUUGCGCCCCCUGGUAUUCCGGGGGGCAUGCCUGUCCGAGCGUCAUUGCAACCCUCAAGCGCGGCUUGUGUGUUGGGCUUCGUCCCCCCGUGGACGUGCCCGAAAGGCAGUGGCGGCGUCCCGAAUGGUGCCCGAGCGUAUGGGAACUCUCUUCCGCUCGAACCGGCCCAUUCGGCGCUGGUCGAACCCCAAUUUUUUUUUACCGGUUGACCUCGGAUCAGGUAGGGAUACCCGCUGAACUUAAGCAUAUCAAUAAGCGGAGGA
RNAcentral lists this unclassified non-coding RNA (339 nucleotides) under soil metagenome. RNAcentral's name for it is "partial contains 5.8S ribosomal RNA, internal transcribed spacer 2, and large subunit ribosomal RNA". The stretch from base 1 to 120 matches the Rfam family "5.8S ribosomal RNA", at positions 35 to 154 of the family's 154-position model. The record is from RNAcentral.